GACGAACGCUGGCGGCGUGCCUAAUACAUGCAAGUCGAACGAAGCUUUUCUAACUGGUGCUUGCGCCGACUUAAACAACUGAGUGGCGAACGGGUGAGUAACACGUGGGUAACCUGCCCCAAAGCGGGGGAUAACAUUUGGAAACAGAUGCUAAUACCGCAUAACCACAGAAACCACAUGGUUUCUGUGUCAAAGAUGGUUUCGGCUAUCACUUUGGGAUGGACCCGCGGCGUAUUAGCUAGUUGGUAAGGUAAUGGCUUACCAAGGCAAUGAUACGUAGCCGAACUGAGAGGUUAGUCGGCCACAUUGGGACGGAGAUACGGCCCGAACUCCGACGGGAGGCAGCAGUAGGGAAUCUUCCACAAUGGACGAAAGUCUGAUGGAGCAACGCCGCGUGAGUGAAGAAGGUUUUCGGAUCGUAAAACUCUGUUGUCAGAGAAGAACGUAUCUAAGAGUAACUGCUUAGGUAGUGACGGUAUUUAACCAGAAAGCCACGGCUAACUACGUGCCAGCCGCCGCGGUAA
RNAcentral lists this ribosomal RNA (524 nucleotides) under uncultured bacterium. RNAcentral's name for it is "partial 16S ribosomal RNA". It matches the Rfam family "Bacterial small subunit ribosomal RNA", at positions 28 to 523 of the family's 1533-position model. The record is from RNAcentral.